AUUGAACGCUGGCGGCAUGCCUUACACAUGCAAGUCGAACGGUAACAGGUCUUCGGAUGCUGACGAGUGGCGAACGGGUGAGUAAUAUAUCGGAACGUGCCCAGUCGUGGGGGAUAACGCAGCGAAAGCUGUGCUAAUACCGCAUACGACCUGAGGGUGAAAGCGGGGGAUCGCAAGACCUCGCGCUAUUGGAGCGGCCGAUAUCAGAUUAGCUAGUUGGUGGGGUAAAGGCCUACCAAGGCUACGAUCUGUAGUUGGUCUGAGAGGACGACCAGCCACACUGGGACUGAGACACGGCCCAGACUCCUACGGGAGGCAGCAGUGGGGAAUUUUGGACAAUGGGCGCAAGCCUGAUCCAGCAAUGCCGCGUGCAGGAAGAAGGCCUUCGGGUUGUAAACUGCUUUUGUCAGGGAAGAAAUCUUCUGGGCUAAUACCCCGGGAGGAUGACGGUACCUGAAGAAUAAGCACCGGCUAACUACGUG
Molecule: ribosomal RNA, 482 nt
Filed under: uncultured bacterium
Lineage: Bacteria
Description: bacterial SSU rRNA
Rfam family: Bacterial small subunit ribosomal RNA
Source: RNAcentral